Molecule: ribosomal RNA, 429 nt
Filed under: Bacillota bacterium
Lineage: Bacteria; Bacillati; Bacillota
Description: Firmicutes bacterium partial 16S ribosomal RNA
Rfam family: Bacterial small subunit ribosomal RNA
Source: RNAcentral
UAGGGAAUCUUCGGCAAUGGACGGAAGUCUGACCGAGCAACGCCGCGUGAGUGAAGAAGGUUUUCGGAUCGUAAAGCUCUGUUGUUAGAGAAGAACGUUGGUAGGAGUGGAAAAUCUACCAAGUGACGGUAACUAACCAGAAAGGGACGGCUAACUACGUGCCAGCAGCCGCGGUAAUACGUAGGUCCCGAGCGUUGUCCGGAUUUAUUGGGCGUAAAGCGAGCGCAGGCGGUUCUUUAAGUCUGAAGUUAAAGGCAGUGGCUUAACCAUUGUACGCUUUGGAAACGGGAGGACUUGAGUGCAGAAGGGGAGAGUGGAAUUCCAUGUGUAGCGGUGAAAUGCGUAGAUAUAUGGAGGAACACCGGUGGCGAAAGCGGCUCUCUGGUCUGUAACUGACGCUGAGGCUCGAAAGCGUGGGGAGCAAACAGG